This 253-nucleotide ribosomal RNA is filed under the name uncultured bacterium. Its description in RNAcentral is "partial 16S ribosomal RNA". It matches the Rfam family "Bacterial small subunit ribosomal RNA", at positions 524 to 776 of the family's 1533-position model. The record is from RNAcentral.
CACGUAGGAGGCGAGCGUUGUCCGGAAUCAUUGGGCGUAAAGAGCGCGCAGGCGGCUUGGCAAGUCGGGUGUGAAAUCCCGGGGCUCAACCCCGGGACUGCAUUCGAUACUGUCAGGCUAGAGGUAGGUAGGGGAGAUCGGAAUUCCUGGUGUAGCGGUGAAAUGCGUAGAGAUGCGGAGGAACACCGAUGGCGAAGGCAGCCCCCUGGGCUAACACUGACGCUCAGGCACGAAAGCGUGGGGAGCAAACAGG